Molecule: long non-coding RNA, 1322 nt
Filed under: Hordeum vulgare
Lineage: Eukaryota; Viridiplantae; Streptophyta; Magnoliopsida; Poales; Poaceae
Description: long non-coding RNA (HVUL_LNC007726)
Source: RNAcentral
ACCAAAUAAUGCAUGCAAACACAAACAUAAUUGCACUGUGUCAAAAACAAUGCAUCCAAACAGAUGGCCCGACCGAACUAGAUGUCCACAGUCUCUCAAACUGUUGGCUGUGUUCAUCACACAACAAAACUGCACACCACACAAUGUACGCAACCCAGGGUACGACAUGGCGGUAUUUUGUUUCUUUUUCCCUCUAAUGAAAAAACAUUAAACGUAACCUUAAAAAACAGCGCUGGUGAGCUACACUAGACUGAACUUUUUGAGAAAAAUGUCCAUUCGCAAAGUGUGUGGCCGUCCCAGCACUAAACGCCGCCCACUGCCGGCGCGACACCGCUUUCAUCGUUGGCCACCUGUCGGACCGCCAAGAACCCAACCAUGAGCUGCACACCGACAACCACAUAAUUGCACACAAAUAGACGAAGGAGGAAGCAUUAGAUGAGGAGCCGCACAUCUUGGAUCUGCUACCUGACAGGGCCAGACGGGGGAACUCCAGGCUCCCGAGGAUCACAAAACCUCCACGCGCACUGCAACACCGGCGCAAUCGAACUGCAACGAGAGGCGGGGCGAGCUGUACCUGCGUAGGCCGCUGGAGAGAGGGAUCCUCCUGCACUGCUCGUCGAAGAUAACAUGGUUAGAGGUUGGUGAGGGCGAGGUAGGGGCCAGAACGCCCGGAUCUGAAGCCGGAGUGACGUACAUGAGUACCUCCGCCUCUGGUCGUCGACAGAAGUGAAUGGGGAGGUGCUACUCCUGCAAACGUGCCCUCCAUGGAUAGGGAGGAGGCGGGGCGGGUCCGUCCAUGGCAGUGCGGGUCCAGGCCUCCAAGGGGGGGUUGGUGUUGUAGUGGAUCCCAUCGAAUCUGGCAUCGAGGUAGGUCGCGGUGGUGGCCACCUGGGUGAGGAAGGGUGGCGGUGCUGGGAGGCCACGACUCAAGUGGGAACGAUGGUCGGGGACGGUUGGACGGUAGAGGCAGGGGCAAGACCGGAGACUUCGGGGAAGAUGGAGUAACUACUGUUAUUGACCCGUAGGUCACGUGACGAACUACUCACACAUCAUCACGGAGGCAACAAGUUUGACGAAGUUGGCCUCUGGAUUCUUCCUCCCACAAAACGCCGGAGAAGGCCUCCUGAUGGGACAGCGGAAGAUGAGAUGCUUGUGGUGGUGAUAAAAAUGUUUUGGGUCUCUCGCUCUGGUGGUUUAUAGAAUUUAGAGAAUAUAUAUAGGUGAAAUUCAAUCAAUGGGAUCCACGAGGGGGCCACAAGCUCACCCGAUGCUCCCCAUGGGGCACGCCACAUGAGCUUGUGGCUCCCUCGAAUGUCUUCUAG